RNAcentral lists this ribosomal RNA (497 nucleotides) under uncultured bacterium. RNAcentral describes it as "partial 16S ribosomal RNA". It matches the Rfam family "Bacterial small subunit ribosomal RNA", at positions 28 to 507 of the family's 1533-position model. The record is from RNAcentral.
GAUGAACGCUGGCGGCGUGCCUAAUACAUGCAAGUCGAGCGAACAGAUAAGGAGCUUGCUCCUUUGACGUUAGCGGCGGACGGGUGAGUAACACGUGGGUAACCUACCUAUAAGACUGGAAUAACUCCGGGAAACCGGGGCUAAUGCCGGAUAACUUUUAGAACCGCAUGGUUCUAAAGUGAAAGAUGGUUUUGCUAUCACUUAUAGAUGGACCCGCGCCGUAUUAGCUAGUUGGUAAGGUAACGGCUUACCAAGGCAACGAUACGUAGCCGACCUGAGAGGGUGAUCGGCCACACUGGAACUGAGACACGGUCCAGACUCCUACGGGAGGCAGCAGUAGGGAAUCUUCCGCAAUGGGCGAAAGCCUGACGGAGCAACGCCGCGUGAGUGAUGAAGGUCUUCGGAUCGUAAAACUCUGUUAUUAGGGAAGAACAAAUGUGUAAGUAACUGUGCACGUCUUGACGGUACCUAAUCAGAAAGCCACGGCUAACUACGUG